GUGCCAGCAGCCGCGGUAAUACGUAGGGUGCGAGCGUUAAUCGGAAUUACUGGGCGUAAAGCGUGCGCAGGCGGUUCGCUGUGUCUGCGGUGAAAGCCCCGGGCUCAACCUGGGAAUGGCCGUGGAAACUGGCGGGCUGGAGUGUGGCAGAGGGGGGUGGAAUUCCGCGUGUAGCAGUGAAAUGCGUAGAGAUGCGGAGGAACACCGAUGGCGAAGGCAACCCCCUGGGCUGACACUGACGCUCAGGCACGAAAGCGUGGGGAGCAAACAGGAUUAGAUACCCUUGUAGUCC
This 292-nucleotide ribosomal RNA is filed under the name uncultured bacterium. RNAcentral describes it as "partial 16S ribosomal RNA". It matches the Rfam family "Bacterial small subunit ribosomal RNA", at positions 505 to 796 of the family's 1533-position model. The record is from RNAcentral.